This 398-nucleotide ribosomal RNA is filed under the name uncultured bacterium. RNAcentral describes it as "bacterial SSU rRNA". It matches the Rfam family "Bacterial small subunit ribosomal RNA", at positions 29 to 417 of the family's 1533-position model. The record is from RNAcentral.
AGCGAACGUUAGCGGCGGGCCUAACACAUGCAAGUCGAACGGGCUGUAGCAAUACAGUCAGUGGCGCACGGGUGAGUAACGCGUAGAUAAUCUACCUUCCGGCGGGGGAUAACAUUCCGAAAGGAAUGCUAAUACCGCAUAAGACCACGGGGUCCUCGGGCCCUGAGGGAAAAGGUGGCCUCUCCUUGGAAGCCAUCACCGGAAGAUGAGUCUGCGUCCCAUCAGCUAGUUGGUAAGGUAAUGGCUUACCAAGGCGAAGACGGGUAGCUGGUCUGAGAGGAUGAUCAGCCACACUGGUACUGGAACACGGACCAGACUCCUACGGGAGGCAGCAGUGGGGAAUAUUGGGCAAUGGGCGAAAGCCUGACCCAGCCACGCCGCGUGAGUGAUGAAGGCCU